GACGAACGCUGGCGGCGUGCUUAACACAUGCAAGUCGAGCGGUAAGGCCCUUUCGGGGGUACACGAGCGGCGAACGGGUGAGUAACACGUGAGUAAUCUGCCCUUCACUUCGGGAUAAGCACCGGAAACGGUGUCUAAUACUGGAUAUGAGCAUCCUGCGCAUGUGGGGUGUUGGAAAGUUUUUUCGGUGGGGAUGUGCUCGCGGCCUAUCAGCUUGUUGGUGAGGUAAUGGCUCACCAAGGCUUCGACGGGUAGCCGGCCUGAGAGGGUGACCGGUCACACUGGGACUGAGACACGGCCCAGACUCCUACGGGAGGCAGCAGUGGGGAAUAUUGGACAAUGGGCGGAAGCCUGAUCCAGCAACGCCGCGUUGAGGGAUGACGGCCUUC
RNAcentral lists this ribosomal RNA (389 nucleotides) under uncultured bacterium. RNAcentral describes it as "bacterial SSU rRNA". It matches the Rfam family "Bacterial small subunit ribosomal RNA", at positions 28 to 419 of the family's 1533-position model. The record is from RNAcentral.